Molecule: ribosomal RNA, 253 nt
Filed under: uncultured bacterium
Lineage: Bacteria
Description: partial 16S ribosomal RNA
Rfam family: Bacterial small subunit ribosomal RNA
Source: RNAcentral
UACGUAGGGUGCGAGCGUUGUUCGGAAUUACUGGGCGUAAAGGGCGCGUAGGCGGUUCGAUAAGUCCCGUGUGAAAUCCCUCGGCUCAACUGAGGAAUGGCACGGGAAACUGACGGGCUUGAGUUCGGGAGAGGGAAGCGGAAUUCCGGGUGUAGAGGUGAAAUUCGUAGAUAUCGAGAGGAACACCGGUGGCGAAGGCGGCCUUCUGGACAGUGACUGACGCUGAGACGCGAAAGCGUGGGGAGCAAACAGG